This 490-nucleotide ribosomal RNA is filed under the name uncultured bacterium. RNAcentral describes it as "bacterial SSU rRNA". It matches the Rfam family "Bacterial small subunit ribosomal RNA", at positions 28 to 517 of the family's 1533-position model. The record is from RNAcentral.
GAUGAACGCUAGCGGCAGGCCUAACACAUGCAAGUCGAGGGGUAGAAUUAGCUUGCUAAUUUGAGACCGGCGCACGGGUGCGUAACGCGUAUGCAAUCUACCUUGUACAGGGGGAUAGCCCAGAGAAAUUUGGAUUAAUACCCCAUGGUAUAAUUAAAUCGCAUGGUUUGAUUAUUAAAGUUCCAACGGUACAAGAUGAGCAUGCGUCCCAUUAGCUAGUUGGUGUGGUAACGGCAUACCAAGGCGACGAUGGGUAGGGGUCCUGAGAGGGAGAUCCCCCACACUGGUACUGAGACACGGACCAGACUCCUACGGGAGGCAGCAGUGAGGAGUAUUGGUCAAUGGUCGGAAGACUGAACCAGCCAUGCCGCGUGCAGGAAGACGGUCCUAUGGAUUGUAAACUGCUUUUGUACGGGAAGAAACACUCCUUCGUGAAGGAGCUUGACGGUACCGUAAGAAUAAGGAUCGGCUAACUCCGUGCCAGCAGCCG